CGCAAGCCUGACGGAGCCAGACCGCGUGGGGGAGGAAGGCCCUUGGGUUGUAAACCCCUUUUCUCAGGGAAGAAACCUGACGGUACCUGAGGAAUAAGCCUCGGCUAACUCCGUGCCAGCAGCCGCGGUAAUACGGAGGAGGCAAGCGUUAUCCGGAAUUAUUGGGCGUAAAGCGUCCGCAGGGGGCGCAUCAAGUCUGCUGUCAAAGGUCGGAGCUUAACUCCGGUAGAGCAGUGGAAACUGGUGCGCUAGAGGGCGACAGGGGUAGAGGGAAUUCCCAGUGUAGCGGUGAAAUGCGUAGAGAUUGGGAAGAACACCGGUGGCGAAAGCGCUCUACUGGGUCGCACCUGACCCUCAGGGACGAAAGCUAAGGGAGCG
RNAcentral lists this ribosomal RNA (378 nucleotides) under uncultured cyanobacterium. Its description in RNAcentral is "bacterial SSU rRNA". It matches the Rfam family "Bacterial small subunit ribosomal RNA", at positions 376 to 770 of the family's 1533-position model. The record is from RNAcentral. Lineage: Bacteria; Bacillati; Cyanobacteriota.